CCACAUGACGUACAGACUCGCCACAAAUACAAAAUUUUUCUGUCCACUCGGACAGAGUCUCCUUUGUAUUUGCACGACGUACCAACAGCUACAUCUGGAUCACAACUAUAAUAUCAUUCACCAAUCCACAAACAAUUCAUGUGAUGCAUUUCCAUACAGCUAGCGAUCCUUAGGGAUGAUGCAUGUCUCUAAACACUUCUUAGGAGCUGGAUAAUGCGAUGCACAGUACAACAGUCAUCCUAUUUAAUAGUGCUCCACACCCGGAAGCUUUGUUUUUAAACUCUAUAUAAUCAUCCAUAAAACCGUUCGAAACCUUUUUAAAACUGUUUCCCAUUCAGAAACUUCAUUUUAAAAACCGACUACCUCGAGGAGUAGAAAACCACAAUGCGUAAAUGCAUAUAUCGAAGAAUCAAUUUUUCAUAA
Molecule: long non-coding RNA, 423 nt
Filed under: Ananas comosus (pineapple)
Lineage: Eukaryota; Viridiplantae; Streptophyta; Magnoliopsida; Poales; Bromeliaceae
Description: long non-coding RNA (ACOM_LNC029530)
Source: RNAcentral